Molecule: long non-coding RNA, 993 nt
Organism: Bombus pyrosoma
Lineage: Eukaryota; Metazoa; Arthropoda; Insecta; Hymenoptera; Apidae
Exons: 2
Source: RefSeq, a predicted model, not a curated record
UCCAUUAAAUUUCAUAUUAGUAAAUUCAAUUAGAUCAUCCCAGUCAGAUGUAGAAUCUCGACGAUCUACAUUCUCGAUUAUUUUUUUAGAGAUUUAUAAUAAUGAAACAAAAAAUAGUCAAUUGUCGGUUUGAAGAGCUCUUCGUCCGAAAGAGACUAUUAUUCAUAACUUAUUUGCUGCCGCAUUGUUCCCUUUUGGAUUGUGCAUACAAGCUCUCAAACUAAUUACUGUGAAAUUUCCUGCAUUCCACGUUUAAUGCGAACCUAAAAUUGGCAGGAUUGGCAAGUUGCGUGGUAGAAACUCUGUCAGAGAUACAAUCAUAGGUUAUUUGGAAAUAACCGAUCUUCUGCUAACGGAUAGAGAUCAAUUCCCGAACGAGAGGAGCAAAUUUGCGCAACCAGCAAAACUGUCUUUUUUUAUAAAUGAUAAGAUAAAGGAGGACUUGCUUGAAAAGGAUCAUUUCGGAAAGAAAAGAUUUGCAAUGAUAUUUUAUCAAGAUCGGAUGAUAAGAUAUUUGUAAGGUAAAUGAAUUGCAGGCUUGUAUUUUGCAUUUUACAAGUAAAGGAAUAUUAUGAAGAAUGAUGUUUAUCUCUUCAUAAUUAUUUUCAUCGUCGCCAUUAACAAGAAACUAAAGCUUUGCGAAUAAUUAUAAAUUCUGGUAAGGAGUGUAGCUCGUUAUUUAUUCGAAAAUAAUUGUUCCCGACGGUUUUGAUGACUACUAUGGGAAUAAUUAUUUCAAACAUCACGAUGGAAUGUAGAUAAUAGAAUUAUCUUUUAGAAACUGUUAAAUUCGCGAACAUUCUCAACCUAGUUAACUAUGAAACAUCCCCAUAACUAUCUAAUAGUAUUUAGGGUACAGUAUGUGUUGUCAAUGAUUUCUCUCUCUUUCAUUCUUUCUCUCUAUCUAUCUAUCUCUGUCUCUGUCUCUCUUAAAACAAAUUAUAUUGUACCAGUUGUAUUUGAAAGAGUUAAAAUAAACGUUUAAUUUAGUAA